Molecule: microRNA precursor, 62 nt
Filed under: Branchiostoma lanceolatum (amphioxus)
Lineage: Eukaryota; Metazoa; Chordata; Leptocardii; Amphioxiformes; Branchiostomatidae
Description: Bla-Mir-12494-P3_pre stem-loop
Source: RNAcentral
AUACGGGACUAUUAAGGACAUGAUUCCCUUCCAUAUUUUCAUGUUCUUAUAAUCUCGCAUCU